GAAAGUAAGCAAGGGCAGACGGUGGAUGCCUUGGCUCUCGGAGGCGAUGAAGGACGUGAUAAGCUGCGAUAAGCUUGGGGUAGGUGCAAAUAACCUUUGAUCCCAAGAUUUCCGAAUGGGGCAACCCGGCUGGUAGAAGGCCAGUCAUUCCGUAAGGAAGGCGAACGUGGGGAACUGAAACAUCUAAGUACCCAUAGGAGAAGAAAACAAAAGUGAUUCCGCAAGUAGUGGCGAGCGAACGCGGAACAGCCCAAACCGAUGAUGUUUAGGCAUUGUCGGGGUAGUAGGACCACGUUGUGGCAAGAGAUUAAGGAAGUAGAACGUUUUGGAACAAACGGCCGUAGACGGUGAAAGCCCGGUAUACGACUCUUUAACGAAGCCUAGUGGAAUCCUGAGUAGCGCGGAGCACGAGAAAUUCUGUGUGAAUCAGCGGGGCCCAUCCCGUAAGGCUAAAUACUCCCGAGAGACCGAUAGCGAACCAGUACUGUGAAGGAAAGGUGAAAAGCACCUCGAACAGAGGAGUGAAAUAGUCCCUGAAACCGUCUGCCUACAAGCGGUCGGAGCAACGUAAGUUGUGACGGCGUGCCUUUUGCAUAAUGAACCUACGAGUUACUUUCUCCGGCAAGGUUAAGGGCUUCAGGCCCGGAGCCGAAGCGAAAGCGAGUCUUAAUAGGGCGUGAUAGUCGGAGUGAGUAGACGCGAAACCAAGUGAUCUACCCUUGGUCAGGAUGAAGGUUGGGUAACACCAACUGGAGGUCCGAAUGGGUAUACGUUGAAAAGUGUUCCAAUGAACUGAGGGUAGGGGUGAAAGGCUAAUCAAACUUGGAGAUAGCUCGUACUCCCCGAAAUGCAUUUAGGUGCAGCCUUUAUUUAGUAUAGUAUGAGGUAGAGCGACUGAUUGGAUGCGAGGGCUUCACCGCCUAUCAAGUCCAGAUAAACUCCGAAUGCGUGCUAUAUAUUGAUAAGGAGUGAGGGCGCGGGUGCUAAGGUCCGCGUCCGAGAGGAGAAGAAUCCAGACCAUCAGCUAAGGUCCCCAAAUAACAGUUAAGUUGAACUAACGAAGUCGGACUGCAGAGACAGCUAGGAUGUUGGCUUGGAAGCAGCCAUUCAUUUAAAGAGUGCGUAACAGCUCACUAGUCGAGGAGUCCGGCGUGGAUAAUACUCGGGCAUAAACUGUUUACCGAAGCUAUGGAUGUAGAAAUACAUGGUAGGGGAGCAUUCCAACGGCGUCGAAGGUGAAGGAUGACCUUUGCUGGAGCUUUUGGAAACGCAAAUGUAGGUAUAAGUAACGAUAAAGGAGGUGAGAAACCUCCUCGCCGAAAGACUAAGGUUUCCUGAUCAACGUUAAUCGGAUCAGGGUAAGUCGGGACCUAAGGUUAAGCCGAACGGCGAUACCGAUGGAAGAAUGGUUUAAUAUUCCCAUACUACUUUAUGGAGCGAUGUGGAGACGGAGAAGUGAAAGUCCUGCCAUCUGACGGAAUAGGUGGUUGAAGAGUGUAGAUGUAGAUUCCUGUAGGCAAAUCCGCAGGGAGAGUCGACCUUGAUAGUAUGCCGCGUGCUUGCACAAGGCAAAAUGGACGUAAUCAGGCUCCCAAGAAAAUCCGCUAAGCAUAUUCAUAAAGUACCCGUACCGUAAACGGACACACGUAGUUGGGUUGAAAAUACUGAGGCGCUCGAGUGAUUCACGGUUAAGGAACUAGGCAAAUUGACCCUGUAACUUCGGGAUAAAGGGUCCCUACUGAGAGGUAGGGCGCAGAGAAUAGGUCCAGGCAACUGUUUAACAAAAACACAUGGCUGUGCGAAAUAGAAAUAUGAAGUAUACAGCCUGACACCUGCCCGGUGCUGGAAGGUUAAGAGGAGAGCUCAUCGCAAGAGAAGGCUUGAAUUGAAGCCCCAGUAAACGGCGGCCGUAACUAUAACGGUCCUAAGGUAGCGAAAUUCCUUGUCGGGUAAGUUC
RNAcentral lists this ribosomal RNA (1957 nucleotides) under human gut metagenome. RNAcentral's name for it is "bacterial LSU rRNA". It matches the Rfam family "Bacterial large subunit ribosomal RNA", at positions 1 to 1983 of the family's 2925-position model. The record is from RNAcentral.